CCUACGGGUGGCAGCAGUAGGGAAUAUUGCUCAAUGGGGGAAACCCUGAAGCAGCAAAGCCGCGUGGAGGAUGAAGGUUUUCGGAUUGUAAACUCCUUUUGUUAGAGAAGAUAAUGACGGUAUGUAACGAAUAAGCACCGGCUAACUUCGUGCCAGCAGCCGCGGUAAUACGGAGGCUGCCAGCGUUACUCGGAAUCACUGGGCGUAAAGAGUGAGUAGGCGGGGUAAUAAGUCAGAUGUGAAAUUCUGUAGCUUAACUACAGAACUGCAUUUGAAAAUGGUACUCUUGAGUGUGGUAGAGGUAGGUGGAAUUCGUGGUGUAGGGGUAAAAUCCGUAGAGAUCAAGAGGAAUACUCAUUGCGAAGGCGACCUGCUGGAACAUUACUGACGCUGAUGCACGAAAGCGUGGGGAGCAAACAGGAUUAGAUACCCGGGUAGUC
RNAcentral lists this ribosomal RNA (440 nucleotides) under uncultured bacterium. RNAcentral describes it as "partial 16S ribosomal RNA". It matches the Rfam family "Bacterial small subunit ribosomal RNA", at positions 338 to 795 of the family's 1533-position model. The record is from RNAcentral.